UGAGUAAGCUAUGCGAUAGCGUGAACGUUUUAGUUUAUGAGGAAAGUCCGGGCAUCACAGAGCGGAGCAGCUGCUAACGGCAGCCGAGGGCGACCUUAGGGCCAGUGCAACAGAGAUAUACCGCCGUGUUUACACGGUAAGGGUGGAAAGGCGAGGUAAGAGCUCACCAGAGUGCAGGAGACUGUACUGCUAUGUAAACCCUGUUCGAUGCAACGUCUAUUGGUACAGUUUGUCUUAACACUUGCUCGGUGGGCAGGCUGUAAUGACGGCUUGAGCCCUUUGGCGACAAAGGGCCUAGAUAAAUUAUCGCACACGACAGAACCCGGCUUAUCGGCUUACUCAUUUU
Molecule: RNase P RNA, 346 nt
Filed under: Oscillospiraceae bacterium
Lineage: Bacteria; Bacillati; Bacillota; Clostridia; Eubacteriales; Oscillospiraceae
Description: RNase P RNA component class A
Rfam family: Bacterial RNase P class A
About the family: Ribonuclease P (RNase P) is a ubiquitous endoribonuclease, found in archaea, bacteria and eukarya as well as chloroplasts and mitochondria. Its best characterised activity is the generation of mature 5'-ends of tRNAs by cleaving the 5'-leader elements of precursor-tRNAs.
Source: RNAcentral